GGAGAGCCUGUGGUUCUAGGCCAAGCAUCUCACUCAUCUCAAAACAUCUUAUAUCCCUUAGCCAACAUUUAUGUCAAGUUUUAGAAGUCCUACAAACUGGCAAGCAUUUCUCAAUCUGGUUUAACCAUUGGAUUUUAUAUCUGUGUCUGCAUCUCUAUUUACAUCUAUGUGGUUAUUUGACACUCUGUAGUACAUUUGUAAUAGGUUCUAUUCGUUGGAAGUUACUUUCAGCAAACCCUUGCUGCUGCUAGAAUUUUCAAGGUUGCAGGUAGAAAGGAGAGAAUAAAAACCACAUCUUCUCUAAUUUUAAAAUUUGUUGUUCCUCAAAUCACACCAGAAGUACAAAUAUUACAAAUUACAAAAGCAGCCAGAAUCAAGAGAUUUCUGGGUGAUUCUGGCUAAUCAGCAGUAUUUGCUGAGGUGUGUGAAGCAGAGCAAAACACCAAGAAGCCCUGGAUGGGGGAGAGUUGGGAGGCCAGGCUGUGACUCCAGAGGUGCUGUUGCCUCAGGGAGAGGAGCUAGAUGCAGAGAGGAUAAAUGGCCGCAGGUGCGACCACGCCGUCCUUGCUGUACAGGGGGCCUGUAUGGGGUGCUUUGUGAGCUGGGUUAUGAACUAGGUGAAGGUCGUGUGAAGCGUCAGAGAAUCGAGGCCAGACAUGACGGUGGAGGCUUGGUGGAGGUGAGGAGCCAGACAGCCUCGCUAAAUGUGCGGUGGCUCACUGCAGACAGCGUCCAUCAGUCGCUAGACAGGCUUGAUCUUCAGCCCCUACGACAGCUGCCUUUAUCCUGUCUGCCUCCACCUUCUGAGGCCUAUAGGCAUCUCAAAUGUGUGUUUCUUAAACAGAUUUGGAUGAGUUGCUUUCUGCACAACACACCUGGACAGACGGAGGCUGGUUCUCCACAAUGGCACCAGGGACUUGGCAGAGACUGGCGGGACAGAGGCACAGCACCAGCUCCCUGGGAGAAGGCAGUGCCUGUGGGAUGGAGGAAAGAAGAGGCACACAGUGCUGAGAUCUAUACAACCUGGCGUUUGGCCGUGGCUUCCAGGACAGGCUGGAUGCAGAGUGAAGUCCUCUCCUCACUGUCAAUGUUUGCAGAUGUCUUCUUAUAAACUUCAUUUUCUUGAGACUUUCAAUUAGGUUUUUACUUAACUGGACUUUUAAAAUUGCCAUGCACAUAACUCUACCAGUUACAAUCUUGAGCUAAC
Molecule: long non-coding RNA, 1207 nt
Filed under: Macaca fascicularis (crab-eating macaque)
Lineage: Eukaryota; Metazoa; Chordata; Mammalia; Primates; Cercopithecidae
Description: lncRNA (ENSMFAG00000056223.1)
Source: RNAcentral